This 218-nucleotide non-coding RNA is filed under the name Mus musculus (house mouse). RNAcentral's name for it is "Eukaryotic large subunit ribosomal RNA". It matches the Rfam family "Eukaryotic large subunit ribosomal RNA", at positions 967 to 1170 of the family's 3401-position model. The record is from Rfam by way of RNAcentral. Lineage: Eukaryota; Metazoa; Chordata; Mammalia; Rodentia; Muridae.
UUUCCCUCAGGAUAGCUGGCACUCUUGCUCUUUCCCGACGCACGCAGUUUUAUCCGGUAAAGCGAAUGAUUAGAGGUCUUGGGGCCGAAACGAUCUCAACCUGUUCUCAAACUUUAAAUGGGUAAGAAGCCCGGCUCGCUGGCGUGGAGCCGAGCGUGGAAUGCGAGUGCCUAGUGGGCCACUCUUGGUAAGCAGAAUUGGCGCUGUGGGAUGAACCG